CGGCGGACGGGUGAGUAACGCGUGGGUAACCUGCCUCAUACAGGGGGAUAACAGUUAGAAAUGACUGCUAAUACCGCAUAAGACCACAGCACCGCAUGGUGCGGGGUAAAAACUCCGGUGGUAUGAGAUGGACCCGCGUCUGAUUAGCUGGUUGGUAAGGUAACGGCUUACCAAGGCGACGAUCAGUAGCCGACCUGAGAGGGUGACCGGCCACAUUGGGACUGAGACACGGCCCAA
RNAcentral lists this ribosomal RNA (237 nucleotides) under uncultured bacterium. RNAcentral's name for it is "partial 16S ribosomal RNA". It matches the Rfam family "Bacterial small subunit ribosomal RNA", at positions 96 to 334 of the family's 1533-position model. The record is from RNAcentral.